RNAcentral lists this ribosomal RNA (253 nucleotides) under uncultured bacterium. RNAcentral describes it as "partial 16S ribosomal RNA". It matches the Rfam family "Bacterial small subunit ribosomal RNA", at positions 524 to 776 of the family's 1533-position model. The record is from RNAcentral.
UACAGAGGUGCCAAGCGUUGUUCGGAUUUAUUGGGCGUAAAGGGUGCGUAGGCGGUGAUGCAAGUCGGGUGUGAAAUACCGGAGCCUAACUCCGGAACGGCAUUCGAAACUGCAUCGCUCGAGGUCUGGAGAGGUGAUUGGAAUUCUCGGUGUAGCAGUGAAAUGCGUAGAUAUCGAGAGGAACACCAGAGGCGAAGGCGAAUCACUAGACAGAACCUGACGCUGAGGCACGAAAGCUAGGGGAGCAAACGGG